UCAUGGCUCAGGAUGAACGCUAGCUACAGGCUUAACACAUGCAAGUCGAGGGGCAGCAUGAUCAAAGCUUGCUUGGUGAUGGCGACCGGCGCACGGGUGAGUAACGCGUAUCCAACCUUCCCCUUAGUAGGGCAUAGCCCGUAGAAAUGCGGAUUAAUACCCUAUGUUGUUCGUAGAGGACAUCUGAAAUGAACCAAAGGUUUACCGCUAAGGGAUGGGGAUGCGUCUGAUUAGGUAGUCGGCGGGGUAACGGCCCACCGAGCCUUCGAUCAGUAGGGGUUCUGAGAGGAAGGUCCCCCACAUUGGAACUGAGACACGGUCCAAACUCCUACGGGAGGCAGCAGUGAGGAAUAUUGGUCAAUGGACGAGAGUCUGAACCAGCCAAGUAGCCGUGCAGGGUGACGGCCCUAUGGGUUGUAAACUGCUUUUAUACAGGGAUAAAGUUGGGAACGUGUUCCCUUUUGCAGGUACUGUAUGAAUAAGGACCGGCUAAUUCCGUGCCAGCAGCUGC
Molecule: ribosomal RNA, 511 nt
Filed under: uncultured bacterium
Lineage: Bacteria
Description: bacterial SSU rRNA
Rfam family: Bacterial small subunit ribosomal RNA
Source: RNAcentral